RNAcentral lists this ribosomal RNA (468 nucleotides) under uncultured bacterium. Its description in RNAcentral is "partial 16S ribosomal RNA". It matches the Rfam family "Bacterial small subunit ribosomal RNA", at positions 28 to 507 of the family's 1533-position model. The record is from RNAcentral.
GACGAACGCUGGCGGCGUGCUUAACACAUGCAAGUCGAACGGAAAGGCCCUGCUUUUGUGGGGUGCUCGAGUGGCGAACGGGUGAGUAACACGUGAGUAACCUGCCCUUGACUUUGGGAUAACUUCAGGAAACUGGGGCUAAUACCGGAUAGGAGCUCCUGCUGCAUGGUGGGGGUUGGAAAGUUUCGGCGGUUGGGGAUGGACUCGCGGCUUAUCAGCCUGUUGGUGGGGUAGUGGCUUACCAAGGCUUUGACGGGUAGCCGGCCUGAGAGGGUGACCGGCCACAUUGGGACUGAGAUACGGCCCAGACUCCUACGGGAGGCAGCAGUGGGGAAUAGUGCACAAUGGGCGGAAGCCUGAUGCAGCAACGCCGCGUGCGGGAUGACGGCCUUCGGGUUGUAAACCGCUUUCGCCUGUGACGAAGCGUGAGUGACGGUAAUGGGUAAAGAAGCACCGGCUAACUACGUG